RNAcentral lists this ribosomal RNA (394 nucleotides) under uncultured bacterium. Its description in RNAcentral is "bacterial SSU rRNA". It matches the Rfam family "Bacterial small subunit ribosomal RNA", at positions 28 to 420 of the family's 1533-position model. The record is from RNAcentral.
GACGAACGCUGGCGGCGUGCUUAACACAUGCAAGUCGAGCGGUAAGGCCCUUUCGGGGGUACACGAGCGGCGAACGGGUGAGUAACACGUGGGUGACCUGCCCUCAGCUCUGGGAUAAGCCUAGGGAAACCGGGUCCAAAUACUGGAUAUGACUCCAUGACGCAUGUUGUGGGGUGGAAAGCCUUGUGCGGCUGAGGAUGGGCCCGCGGCCUAUCAGCUUGUUGGUGGGGUGAUGGCCUACCAAGGCGACGACGGGUAGCCGGCCUGAGAGGGCGACCGGCCACACUGGGACUGAGACACGGCCCAGACUCCUACGGGAGGCAGCAGUGGGGAAUCUUGCGCAAAUGGGCGAAAAGCCUGACGCAGCACGCCGCGUGAGGGAUGAACGGCCUGG